GAUGAACGCUGGCGGCGUGCUUAACACAUGCAAGUCGAACGAACGACUUAUUAACAGAACCUUUCGGGGCGAAGAUGAUAGAAGUUAGUGGCGGACGGGUGCGUAACGCGUGGGUAAUCUGCCUUUGUCAAAGGAAUAACUAUUCGAAAGAAUAGCUAAAACCGUAUAACAUAUUAAUAGGGCAUCCUAAUAAUAUCAAAACGAUAGUGGACAAAGAUGAGCCCGCGUCUGAUUAGCUAGUUGGUGAGAUAAAAGCCCACCAAGGCAACGAUCAGUAGCCGACCUGAGAGGGUGAACGGCCACAUUGGAACUGAGACACGGUCCAAACUCCUACGGGAGGCAGCAGUGGGGAAUAUUGCACAAUGGGGGGAACCCUGAUGCAGCAACGCCGCGUGAGUGAAGAAGGCAUUCGUGUCGUAAAACUCUGUAGUAGGGGAAGAAAGAAAUGCAGUCCCUAAAGAAAGCCGGCUACUAC
RNAcentral lists this ribosomal RNA (475 nucleotides) under Filifactor alocis. RNAcentral's name for it is "bacterial SSU rRNA". It matches the Rfam family "Bacterial small subunit ribosomal RNA", at positions 28 to 503 of the family's 1533-position model. The record is from RNAcentral. Lineage: Bacteria; Bacillati; Bacillota; Clostridia; Peptostreptococcales; Filifactoraceae.